CCUACGGGGGAAAAAUUUAUUGCUAUUAGAUGAGCCUAUAUUAGAUUAGUUAGUUGGUGAGGUAAGGGCUUACCAAGACAAUGAUCUAUAGCUGAUCUGAGAGGAUGAUCAGCCACACUGGAACUGAGAUACGGUCCAGACUCCUACGGGAGGCAGCAGUGGGGAAUAUUGGACAAUGGGCGAAAGCCUGAUCCAGCCAUGCCGCAUGAGUGAAGAAGGCCUUCGGGUUGUAAAGCUCUUUUAGUGAGGAAGAUAAUGACGGUACUCACAGAAGAAGUCCUGGCUAACUCCGUGCCAGCAGCCGCGGUAAUACGGAGAGGGCUAGCGUUAUUCGGAAUCAUUGGGCGUAAAGGGCGCGUAGGCGGGUUAGUAAGUUAAAAGUGAAAUCCCAAGGCUCAACCUUGGAACUGCUUUUAAAACUGCUAGUCUAGAGAUUGAAAGAGGAUAGAGGAAUUCCUAGUGUAGAGAUGAAAUUCGUAAAUAUUAGGAGGAACACCAGUGGCGAANGCGUCUAUCUGGUUCAAAUCUGACGCUGANGCGCGAAGGCGUGGGGAGCAAACAGGAUUAGAUACCCUGGUAGUCCACGCUGUAAACGAUGAAUGUUAAAUAUGGGAAGUUUACUUUCUGUAUUAUAGCUNACGCGUUAAACAUUCCGCCUGGGGACUAC
This 667-nucleotide ribosomal RNA is filed under the name uncultured Wolbachia sp. RNAcentral's name for it is "bacterial SSU rRNA". It matches the Rfam family "Bacterial small subunit ribosomal RNA", at positions 193 to 883 of the family's 1533-position model. The record is from RNAcentral. Lineage: Bacteria; Pseudomonadati; Pseudomonadota; Alphaproteobacteria; Rickettsiales; Anaplasmataceae.